UAUCAGGAGAAUGUAUUUGACAUUACUGUGCAAAAAAAUGAGAAAAAGUUCUAAUUUUAGAUGUGCUUAGGAGAACUCGGGAUUGUAUCUGAAGGUAAUAAAUUACUAUUUUUAUUUUCAGGGCACUAUUUUUGUAUGUGUCUUAUGGAAAUCACACUCGGAAAUGCUGACAGCAGGCUUCAGGACAGCUGAGCCUUGCUAGACACCAGGAAGCCCAUGGCCCUGGUGGCGCCUUUCAACAUGACAGAUCCACAGCCUGCCAUUGCAGGAGGAAUUUCUGAAGUCGAGAUCAUCUCCCAACAAGUUGAAGAAGAAACCAAGAGCCUUGCUCCUGUGCAGCUCGUGAAUUUUGCCUAUCGAGACUUGCCCCUGGCUGCCGUCGACCUGUCCACAGCAGGAUCACAGCUUCUGUCAAAUCUGGACGAGGAAUACCAAAGAGAAGGGUUCUUGAUGAGCUGUGAGCUUCAUCCUACGCCUUCCCCUAGGAUGGAUUUCCAGGAAGAAACCUCAUCUUGGAACAUUCACAGCCUUCCUUGGGGAGAAGGGAGCUGCCCUCCCUGUCCAGUGACACCCUCGGGCACUACAGGAGGUGGGCGCUGGCCGGCCUGUCAGCAGGCUGCCGCAGACAGGCUCCCUCUGCUGGCCAAGCGAUGGUCAAAUGCAGGGGCACUCAGACUCUCCAUCGCCAUCUUCAUCACCGCCAUCUUCACCAUCGUCAUCAUCACUGUCAUCAAGCCAUUUCAGCCAUACUGCUCAACAGGUCUAACUGGCUGAAGCCAUGCUGUGGGAAGAGAGCAGCCGUGUGGCAGGUAUUUUUGCUCAGUGCGAGUCUCAACAGUUUCCUGGUAGCCUGUGUAAUAUUGGUGGUGAUUCUCCUGACUCUGGAACUUCUAAUAGAUAUAAAGCUUCUCCAGUGUGAGUAGCAAGAGGGAUACCUAUGCAAAUACGUAUGAUGUCGAUAUUCACUGUGCAUCUAUCUGUAACCAUCAGGGGUCCCCAAUAGGCAGGCUGGGAGGUGCCCCCUGCCUGAUGCCAAAGCCAACCCAUGGCCCCCUGGUUCACGGGGUUGGCCCCUGGGGAGGGACGCAUCUGGCAGCUCCUCUUGUCACCCAGAAUCAGUAUGCCCUCUCUGCCCCAUGUGGCCUCUCCAGUUCUCUUCCCCUUCAUUCCAUGAGCAGAAACUGAUGAGAUGAAAAAAAUGUUAGGGACC
This 1210-nucleotide long non-coding RNA is filed under the name Cavia porcellus (domestic guinea pig). RNAcentral describes it as "lncRNA (ENSCPOG00000034297.1)". Lineage: Eukaryota; Metazoa; Chordata; Mammalia; Rodentia; Caviidae. The record is from RNAcentral.